This 226-nucleotide ribosomal RNA is filed under the name Escherichia coli. RNAcentral's name for it is "partial 23S ribosomal RNA". It matches the Rfam family "Bacterial large subunit ribosomal RNA", at positions 1282 to 1512 of the family's 2925-position model. Lineage: Bacteria; Pseudomonadati; Pseudomonadota; Gammaproteobacteria; Enterobacterales; Enterobacteriaceae. The record is from RNAcentral.
UCAGAAGUGCGAAUGCUGACAUAAGUAACGAUAAAGCGGGUGAAAAGCCCGCUCGCCGGAAGACCAAGGGUUCCUGUCCAACGUUAAUCGGGGCAGGGUGAGUCGACCCCUAAGGCGAGGCCGAAAGGCGUAGUCGAUGGGAAACAGGUUAAUAUUCCUGUACUUGGUGUUACUGCGAAGGGGGGACGGAGAAGGCUAUGUUGGCCGGGCGACGGUUGUCCCGGUU